RNAcentral lists this long non-coding RNA (43799 nucleotides) under Citrus maxima (pomelo). RNAcentral's name for it is "long non-coding RNA (CMAX_LNC004207)". The record is from RNAcentral. Lineage: Eukaryota; Viridiplantae; Streptophyta; Magnoliopsida; Sapindales; Rutaceae.
UUUGGAAGUUGAAGGAUUGGCUAGCUGCAUCUUGUUCUGGAUUCAAGCUUCAUGUGCGAAGAUAUACAUGUUCUGAAUACCAUAAAUUCCUAUUGCUUGUAAUUAUUAUUUUGUCUUUAAUGAAAUCUUUGAUAUGUCCUAAGACCAUCUACUAAUUGUAACUUGAUAUUCAAGCUUGAACCUCAAACCUGAUUGUUUUCAACACCAGAGAUUUUGUCAUCUCAAAAUGAAAAGUUAAUUAAACUUUUUGUGUUAAAUUUGUAGUUAGUAAUGUCAUAAUUGUUAAGUAACCUCUUGAUUUUUUUUUACCUCUAAUAUGGUAAUUUGUAAAACUAUUAUUACUUCAUCCUACUAUCCAAAUAUUUCGUUAAUUGUCUGGGGAUAGACUAUUUCAAAUGUCAUUUAAACCAAUUUCUAUCAAAACAUGCAAAUAUUUUGUUGUUCAGAAUUGGACAAAAAUGAGACCAACAUAAACACGGGUGUAGUAAAACAAGUUAAUAAUAUUUACCACGACAAACAUUAGGUAAUUGAUUAUUUCUAAAACAUAAUUAUAACAAUGAUUAUAUCAAAAGUUAAGGCAUUUCCUAAACAUGAAUAAUCCUUGGCCAAUCUUUACUUUUUUGUUAAUCUCUUUUCAAUUGCUUUGCCGUCGUUCCAACAAUUUAACAAUGCAAAUACAAAUGUAAUGAUAUUUGGAUUUUAGAUGGCUUGAUAUAUUUUGUGAGUUGAUUUAACAUCAUUUUUCUAAAUAGUGAUGCAAGAAAAAUUCAAAAUGUAAAAACCAAUGUUACGGUUGUUUUAUGUUUUACAAGAACAAACGUUACCAGUUUUUAUUUAUUACAGAUCCAAAAUUUAUUUAAGAUGUCAUAAUGUAAAAAAUUAAUUGAUUAUGGCAGUUUAAGAAUUGAUUAAGAUUAACUAUUAAAUCAAAAAUUGAGAUAAAUAAUAAUAUUCUAAAAAUAAACGUUUAUUUUAUGUACCACAAGAGAGCGCCUAUAACUGUCAAUUUAAAAAGGAAAAGUUUGCAAACAAACGAUAGACCCACAAGAGAGCGAAAAAUCCAUGAAGUUACACUAUAUGAAGUAGAGUCUUGAUGUUAUGCGUGUCGGUACGCGUCAAGAUCAAAUUUCAUAUGAAGUGUGUUAAGAUCUUGAAUCUUAUUAGGUUUGGCAUCCUAUGACAAUAAUGUUUAUAUAAAGAGUGUCUUCGCUAAUUAUAUUUCCCAUAUAAAUUAGAAUUAUGUCUAAUUUGCCAUGGUUUGAAUCUAAAUUCUACGUGGAGAAUUUGGAAUUUUCCUCAAGUGAAUGAUUCAGAAGUGUAUUUUCGUAUUUGCAUGCAAUUUGAGACGGAGUAAGUUGAAUAUAGAGAUGAAUUAAUUAUUUAAUUAUACUAUUGAGAGCUGUAAAACAUCUCGUGUCAUUGAAUGAUCCAUGUUUGUUGUAAAAACUUUAGGCCCAUUCAUGCUUAGGUUCAGGGUUGGUAAAAUCUAGAUUCGGAUUCGCAUUCAUAUUUCUAUAUCUGAAUUCGUAUAAAAAGAUGUGGAUCCAGAAGCGGGUAAUAUCCGCGAUAUUCUGGAUAUUCAGAUCCGUAAAAAUUAAAAUUAAAUAAUUUAAUAUAUAAUUUAAAAGUUCAAUAAUUUAUCUAAUAAUAUCAAAUAAAAUUCAAUCAUAAUUCAACAAUUGAUAAUUCAACAUGAAUAACAUACAAUAAUCUCAUAAAACUACAAAUAAAAUAUAAUUUUUUAUUUUUAUUUAAUUUUUAAUAUAUAUAUUUACUUUAAUUUUUAAUUUUAAAUAAAAUUCAAUAAUUUACCUAAUAAUAUCAAAUAAAAUUCAAUCAUAAUCCAACCAUUAAUAAUUCAACAUGAAUAAUAUACAAUAACAUCAUAAAACCACAAAUAAAAUUUAUUUUUUAUUUUUUUAUUUAAUUUUUAAUAUAUAUUUUUAAUUUAAAAUAAAAUUUAUCUAGAUCCGUGUGAAUUCAAAAUUUCCAUAUCCGAAUCCACAUUUUUUUAAUUUGCAGACAUGAAUUUUUCCAAAUCCGGCUUUAAUUGUCAUCCCUACUUAAGUCGUAGCAUCUUUGUCAGAUUGUUCAUCAAUUCUAAUGACGUACAUAAAAUUUAAGAGUAUAUUUAGCAUUACUUUUCAGAUAUUGUUUUUAUAUUUAUUUUAUAAUAUGAAUAUGAUUAAUUUUAGUGAAUAUGAAAUUUGUUUUGAUAAUUUAUUUUAAAAUAGUAUUAUUUAAAAUUAUAAAAUAAAUUAUUUGUGGGACUCAUUUCUUUUGUCUAAUUUAAUUUAUUAUGAAAUUUUAAAUGCAAAAGAAAGUUACGUGGGUCCAUGAUAAUUAUCAUACAAAUAAAACAAGAAAAAAGUGGCACGGGUGCACUUAUAAGGCAAAUGUUGUCGAAAACAACCAAAUGUUUUUCUCUACUUUUCUUCAUUAAAAGUAUAAAAUAAAAUAAUUUAUUUUUCACCAAAUACAACAACAUCUCAGAAAAAUGUUUCAAAACAAAAAAUGACUUACCAAAAACAAUAUCAAACUAAGCAAUUCCCUUUAUUAUCAAAAUAAAGAAUAACAGGUUUUCUUACUUGCCAGUAGCCGUUUAGAUUUCAUUUAGGGGUGAAAGUGAAAGUGAAAGUGUGAACGUGAAACUAGAGAUGGCUAAGGGCUGACCGGCCGACCGAUACUUGGCAUGGUACCGGAUACGUGUUUGUAUAGUAUGGCACGGCAAGACACACACAGAGGCUAGGUUAGGCUGUGGAUUUUAAGAGCACAAUUUGAUUAGAGAUGUGGUAAAGCAAGACACGUGAAAAAACCAAUAAUAAACACGCUUCAUUAGCAGGCUAGCAUACGACCAUCGGCCAUCAAUAGCAAGCAGACCGACAUAUAUCAAAAUAAAAUUUUCAUUAACGUAGAGAUUUUAUUACUAUGGUCUAUGAAAUUAGAAUUAUGUAUUGUUGUAUUAUAAUUUGUUAUUGCAAAAUUAGAUAAUAUAGUUGUGUUAAUGAAAUGUUAAUUAUUAAAUUUUAAUUUGAAACUUGUAAGUAUUAAUAUUAUUAUGGAUUAUAAUCUAUAACUGUAUGUAAAUUCAAGUUAACAACAAAAUGUUAACCCUUAAAGAAAAUUUUAUUAUUAUUAUUAUUAUUAUUUUAUAGGCUCUAACUUAUUAAUUAGUAUUGCAUUCUCUUACUACUGAAUUUCACAUGAGCUUUAAAAAAAAUACAUGCACUUAAAAAAAGAACGUUAGGUUACUUAGGUUUGUAGACUUGAAAGAGCAUAUCAGACGCGCUCUCAUUAAAAAGAAAAAGAUUGCCGUGUCAUGUGGAGCCUCUCGUGCGCUCAUUCCUUUUAGGUGAAACAUAUUUGUUUGGGGAGCAUAAUAAAAAUAGGAUAUAAAACAGCUAAUAGGAUUGCUAACAAUGGGAUAAAUUGGAGUGGUAGAGAAUCUCAUAUUUAGGGGUGGGCAAAAAAAUCGUGCACUAGAGAAAAUUGAUCCGAACAGUUCCGUUCCGUUCGGACUGAUUUUAAAUUUAAAAAAUAACUGAAAUAUAUGGUUUGUAAAAAAACCGAAAUACAUGUUCGGUAUUCGGUUCACUCAGCUGAACCGAAAAACCGAACCGAAAAACCGAGUUAUUCUUGGAAUUUUAUUUAAAUAGACACGUGUUAAAUUUUAAUCGGUUGCGUGAGAUAACUAAAAUAGGCAUGCACACACACACGAUUACGGGUAUAUAUAUAUAUUUAAAAAUUGUUGUUGGUGUUUGUUUCCAAAUUUUCUUUUUAUUUUGUGUUGUAAGUUUUAAUUGUUGUUAUUUUUAUUUGUCUUUACAACAUUAUAUUUAUGUAGAUGGAGUAUUGGAGUUUGAUUAUGUAUUUUGAAAUCUUAAUAUUUCAUAUUUUGUAAGUACCUUAUUAGUAGUUAGUAAGAUAUUAGUGAUAAAAUGUGUUUUGAAUACUUUGUAUUUAUUGUUAAUAUUUGUAAUGAAAUUAGGAUAAAUUAAUUGUUGAAUAAAAUUAUUACAUUCAUGAGGCCUAAUGGGCUAACAAUUUAGAAAUUCAAAAUAGGCCCAAUAGGCCCAAAACCGAAAAAACCGAACCGAUCCGAAAAGAUCCAUUUAUGUUCAGUUUUUAUUGAGUUCGAUUUUUAUUUAGUUCUUUUUAUAAAAUAACCGAUUUAAAUCAGUUCUACUUAAUUUCGAUCCAAACCGAACCGGACCGAACCGUGCCCACCCCUACUCAUAUUCCUUGUAAAUAAUUAGACCACAUUGGGAAUUGGAGAAUUGGUGAAAAAUGCCGCGGCUACUUUGGGCCUUAGUUCGGGUGAAAUUUUUUCCCCCCUAAGAUUUCAUUUUUAAAUUUUGGAUGGAGUUAUUUAUAACUUAAAACAUAUUUAAAAUGCCCUUUUUUUUCAUAACACCAAAUUAAAUUAAAGAAUUAUCAUAUUUGAAAAUAUAGAUUUUACUCUAUAAAACCCAUCAAAAUGCCAAAACUAUUCUUAAUAUUUUUUUUCUUCCUCCACUCUCUCACACACACAUAUAUAUAUUGGGUAUCUCGAUAACUCUUAACAUUAAAAAAAAAAAAUUCUCUUGUACUGCUAUGAUACUCUUAUAUUAACUUGUUAAAAUUUUUUGUUGUUAACUAAAAUAUUUACGCACACACAAAAUUUACCUUCUUCAAUUUAUACGCAUCUACAGUCCUUUAUUUUGAAUUGUAGGUUUAAUUUUCACUUAUUUAAUUAAAAAAAUCAUCAUUUUAAAGGGUCCAGCUAUGGUACUAUAGUGGUACCAUACUACAGAUGAAUCCAACCGUUUGAUCCAAUUUUGAUGGUAACUGUAGGCUGGAUCCAGCCGUAGUACGGUACCAUUGUGAUACCAUAAUUUUGUCCCAUUUUGAAUUGAGGAAUCGUGAUCUAGUUUGCUUUUUGAGAACCAAAUUGCGAAAUCAUCGAUUGCUUUUUAAUAGUGCUUGCAAUAAUUUGUUUUUGACGGUGAUACUAAUCCGGCAAAAAAGUCGGAUGUAUUGGCCGACAAGAUUGAUUGUCACUUUUUCUUUUUUGGUGUAACCCAUUUUAACUUUAUUGCAAUCCAAAAUAGUAGACUGGUAGUCCAGUAUUUUCACUUUAUUGCAAUCCAAAAUGGUAGAUUGGUAGUCUAGCAAAAGGCCCCCAGAAUGUCCUUUGUUUUACUCUAAAUUGUUUAUUUUGUAAAAAAUUAUACACACACAUAUAUAUCAGGUAAAUAAAGGGUUUCUUAAGUUAUUAUGGGAUAUAUUAAAAAAUUAAGCAAAAUAUAUAUUUUAAUAUAGUAUAUUUUGUUAUAUAAUGUAUUAGAUUAUGUUUUUUUUUUUAUCUUUUGAAUUACCCUUUAAUUUGAUAAUUUAAGAAAUUUCUUAUUAGAACGUUACUCUCUCUCUUUAUAUAUAUUUAUAUGUUGGAGUCUGUUGAGAUUUUAGAUAUGAAUAUUUAUAAUAGGAUCUAAAGAUAUGUUGAACAUUAAUUUCAAAAUACACGCUAAAUACAUGGAGAGAAAUCUACUUUUAUUUAAAGAGAAUAAGUUUAAUAAGAAUAAGAUUCAAAUUCUUUCCAAUGAGAAAUAUAUAAUAAGAAAAUAAAUAUUUAAGAUUUAAGCUCAUUCACUCAACAACCAAAAAGAUACCCAAAUACAAAUGGCAGAUACAAAGCUUCUUCUUGAAUUUCUUUGAUUUUUUUUUUAUUUUAAAUGAGUUUUUACCAAUUUACCUUCAGCCAUUUAGAAUAUACAAAAUGGAAUAAAAACGGGCAGGGGAGGUAUUUGAUAAUACGAAAAUACAAUCCAUCUAAUUCAGAAGACCUUAAACCUCGGGGAGGUGUCUAAAAAUUGCCCCCUCAUCAUACGCAUGUGUACCAUUUCACUUUUCACCUUUCAAUUCACACUGUGAUAUAAAAUUUAAUUAAAAAAAAAAAGAAAAAAGAAAAGGAAAGUGAAGCCACGAAGUCAGUAGCAAUUUGUGAUUCAUGAUUUGGAUCUUGCUGCCGAAGGUCAUUCAUUUUUCAUUCUCUUGGAAGUCACCAGAUACGUGAGCUGCUCUCAUUUCGGUAUGUUACUUUUGCUUCCUGUAUCACCCGCAGUUAUUAUUUCAAUUAUUAUUGUUAUUAUUAUUAUUUUUUUUAAGAAGGAAAGAUUUUGAUAGAGAACAAGGACUUAUAUAUGAUGUUAAUUAGCUAGAUAUUUAUUUAUAUUGCUAGAUGCAGCUUUUUAUUUUUCUCCGAACUUGUGCAACUCUCUAACUGGAGCUUUCAGCAGUAAUUGAGGAUAUACAACGAAGAAGGUAUGAGAUCUUAUUGUGUCAUAGGCCCUUAAUUUGAUAUUUUUUUUACUUCCAAUGGCUAGUUUUAUGCCAAUUCUGAGCCGUUGGAUUAAAAACAUACGGAUAUUAAUGAUCAAGAACUUAAGUUCUUAUUUUUAAAACAUUUUUUAUUAAUUAAUUUUCAUUAAAUUAUUUUUGCCAUUUAUUUGUAUUAAUUUAACUUAACGUCAAUCACCUCCAAGUCAGUACUGUUGACCAUACUUUUAAAAAUAAAAUUAAUUUUCCUACCCAAGUCCCAGCAUGAGUCCAUUAUGCUCUCCUGCCAUUUCAAAUUGGUCCAUUUAAAACGUCUUUUCAAUUGUACAACCACCAAAAAAAAAAAAUUGAAAGUGGCGCUGUUCAUGCCCUUCUAUUUUAAACCCAUUUGGCCAAUUUUAAACAAAAUUUUUAUUAAAAUUUUUUGAUAAAUAUAUGAUUACUCAUAUAACUCUUUUAAACUCGACAAAUAAGCUUAUUUUGCAGAUUAUCUUUGUAUAAAUUAUUCUUAUACAAAUUAUUCUAUUCUAAUUCGAACAUUAAAAGAAUUCACAAAAUUAAUCAAAAAAUAAUAUUUUAUAUUUGUUUCCAAUUAAAACCUAAUUAAGGUGUCAUUUAUAUCUAUUGAAUAAUAAGACAGGAUAAUAAAUAAUUUAACAAAUAAUUAAAUUAAUUAUCCAAUAUGUGAGUUUAAUGAACAUUUGAAGGAAAAGGAAUUAAGAUAUUAUUUGAAAUUAUGGUUUUAUUUUAUUAGAAUAUUGAUUAAAGUUAAAAAAAAAAAAAGGUAAUCAUCUUGAAACAAUUCAAAUUUUAUCAUGAGUGGGCUUGCAUAGAAUGUUGAACUACUCUAAUCUCUAAUACUCUUUUUAAUUGUUAUUAUGGGUGGCUUUUCAAUUAUUCAUCACUUUUAUCAUAUUCCCCAUGCAACUGCCUGUCUUCACUCGCAAUGCACAACAAAUUCUUAGGUUUAUCUGGAUUCUAUUAAAUUUGUUGUUUGAUAUUUUUAUUUAAAAAUUUCUAAAGUAAUCUAAUUUCAAUGUUGGCGUUAAUAAGCCAAAAAAAAAUUAAAGUAAUUAAACGUUCACGUUCGAUCUUGCGAUCAAGCCUUGCUGUUUUAAUUGCUUAUAGCAUACUGAGAUCAAUUUCAUUAAUUGCAGAUAAAUAGCAUGGAAAUUUUAUCAGGUGUUGCAUCAAAGCUUGGAGAAUUAUUGGCGGACGCAACCAUAAACCAAGCUCGCUAUCUGUUCUGCUUCAACAGCAUUGUUAAAGAACUUGGGGAUAAAGAAACUAAUUUGAAGGAGGCACAAGAUGGCGUCAAUGAAAAAGUAGAACAAUAUCGACAAAAACACCGCGCCAUAGUAGUCGAGAAAGAUGUAGAGAAGUGGCUGGCGGAUGUAGUCAAAGAAAUGGCCAAUGUUCAAAAUUUGAAAGCAAGGAUAGAUGAAAACAAAAGUUGUCUUAAUGGAUGGUGUCCUAAUUGGCGUUGCCUAUAUUGGCUGGGUAGAAAAGCAUCAAAGGAGAUUCGCAAGUUGUCCGAUCUACAAAAGAAAUGUGACAAAUUCAGCACAGUUGCCCGUCCUAAACCUCUACCAUCAAACAAAGAAUUACCCGCACCAAGACAUUUUACGUCUUUCGAGACUACAGAACUGGCUUGCAAUCAGAUCAUUGAAUCACUGAAAAGAGAAAGCACAAAAAUGGUGGGACUGCAUGGCCUCGGUGGUGUAGGAAAGACGACCUUGGCAAAAUUUGCGGGCAAUCAACUUCGGCAACAAAAGAUUUUCGAUGACGUAGGGAUAGCCACUAUAUCUCGGGAUCCAAAUAUAAUAAAUGUUCAAAGUGAGCUGGUAAAGUCGUUAGGUUGGGCAUUAACGGAGAAAGAUGAGAAGGAUAGAGCAGACCGAUUGCGCUUGAUGUUCUCUGAGAGUAAAAGCCGCAAGAUCCUCAUAAUCCUUGACGAUGUCUGGAAUGAACUCGACUUGGAGACAGUAGGUAUUCCUGUUGGUGAUAGAGACAAUUGUUGCAAAAUCCUUCUAACCACUCGCCUUCAGCCAGUUUGUGAUCGCAUGGGUUGUGACACGCGGAUUCAACUAGGUGUUCUAAAGCGAGAAGAAGGAUUGGCUUUACUAAGAAAGCAUGCCGGCAUUGAUGCUGAUUCAUUGAUUGGUGUUUCAGAACGAGUUGCUGAUGAAUGUAAGGGGUUGCCUUUGGCUAUUAAAGCUGUUGGAAGUGCACUAAGCGGUAAAGGAUUUGGUGAAUGGAAAGUAGCUCUGCAUAAACUAAAAAAUGCAAAACUUAAUACAAUAGAAGGUAUUGGCAAGGAAGACCAAGACGCUUACCAUUGUCUCAAGUUUAGUUACGAUUAUUUGAAUGGUGAGGAUUCCAGGUCAUGCUUCUUGUUGUGUUCGCUGUUUCCAGAAGAUUAUGAGAUAGAUUUGGAGGAUUUGGUUGGAUAUGCAGUGGCGUUGGAUUGGUAUCAAGCUGAGUCAAUCGAAGAUGCCAGGAGCCUAGUGAGUGGAACGGUUAAAGAGCUCAAAGCUUCUUCACUGCUAUUAGACACUGGUAAUGACAGAUUUGUAAAAAUGCAUGACAUUGUACGUGACGUAGCCUUAUGGAUAGGCUCAAUGGAGAAAAAAUAUUUUACUAGUAAAGUUGGCAUUGGAUUGGCAGAACGGGCAGUGGAACAAUACAGAGGAAUCUCUUUGAUGGGAAAUGAAAAAGAAGAGCUUCCAAGUGGUUUGGUAUGCCCUAAUCUUCAUAUUUUGCGACUGGAGAAUACUGAAUAUGACUAUCAAUUGCAUAUUCCAGAACAUUUUUUCGAAGGAAUGCCAGCAUUGAAAGUUGUUACUAUAAUAGGAGGAGUCAUUUCACUUAAAUCGCUUCAAUUCCUCACCAACCUCCAAGUUCUGCAGUUGAUUCGAUGUAACAUGAGUGACGCGUCUUUCCUUGGAAAGUUGAAGAGACUUCAAAUCCUUUGUGUCAAGGGGUCUCCCAUUGAAAUUCCUGAAGAAUUUGGGGAUCAACUUAGUACAUUGAAACUUCUUAUAUUCAUUAAUUCUGGUCGUAUUUCUCCCAUUACGAUAAAAAAAUUUCCUCAAUUAGAAGAAUUUUAUGGUCGGAUAAAAGAUUGGGAGGCCGAAGGGAUGAGUUCAGAAGAAAAUGACGAUGGAAAGACUUUACAUACUGACAAAAAAAUUGCACGUCUUCCAAAAGACUUUACAUUCCCGAAAUUGCAAAGGCACUACGUCAGUAACGGUAACAAACUUGAAUUUCUAAUGGACGAAGAAGAUGAAAUUUUUGGACAGAGAAGGUGCUUAAAGAUUAAUAAUUGUGAAGCGACCUCGCUCGGUAUUUUUUCGGCAUUGUAUCAAGAACUGGAAAUUCUUAAUUUAAGAACGAUUAUAGGUUGUCACAAUAUUGUGCCAAGCAUAGAUCCAAAGGGCUUAAAUGAAUUGCCUUGUCUUUCUGUCAAGGAGUGCAAAGAAUUAGAAUGCAUAAUGGAUGCCUCUAAGUCGCCGUAUGGAAAGAGUGGGAAUCCUGUGAUGCUCUCAAGAUUAGCAGAGUUAUCUAUGUGGCAAUUACCAAAACUGAAGUGGAUAUGGAAGGCGCCCGCCCAACAUGUGAUCAGCCUCCAAGCUCUUACAAAAUUGAGUGUGUAUGGGUGCAACAAUUUGACAUAUAUCUUCACGUUGUCACAAGCUAGAAGUUUGAAGCAGCUUAAAAGUCUCUUUGUAAGUGGAUGCCAGAGAAUGGAAUGUAUUGUCGAAGCAAAGUUUGAUCACAAUGAAGGGGAAAUAAGUGUCGAAGAUGGAAAUACGAUGCUUGCCCUCCCUUUGUUGAGAAAAUUAACACUUUGCAAUCUCCCAAAACUCAAGAGCUUCUGUUCAGAAAAUUAUCGCUCAAUUUGGACAGCAUUGGAAGAGUUAGACCUUAUUCGCUGUUUUAACUUGACCAUCAGCAGUACUGAAAUUGAAGCCAAUUUGCAGUAUCUUGUAGAGGUAUGUUUGUUUGUGUUUACGUUUUUUCUUUUCCUUCAAUUUUACUCAAAAUGAUAAUUUAGCAAUUAAUUUUAUGAUCAACCAUUAAUUAUUUGGUCCUAUGGAGAUGAUGAUGAUCGUGGAUGUGGUGAUGAUAAUAAUAAUGCUCAAAUAUCUUAGGGAAAUUUCUUUAUUUUAGGGCCUAAAAUCAUUGUUCAAAUGGAAGUCUUAUCUCAUUUUGGUUUAGAAAGAAUUGAUGCAAACACUUACUAAAGUGUAUAUAAUAUUACUCAAAUUCAAUUAAUUAGUUGAUCAAUCCAUAAAAAUUAAUAAAAUACUAAUUUUUCUCAAACAAUCUAAUGUCACCUUUAUAUCACUUCACAUUAUGAAUCCAUAUUACUUUUUAAUUAUUUUAUUAGUUUACUUAUGUAUUAUUAGAUUUUUGUAUGGAUUUUGUUUCUAUUUUUGUUUUUUGCGGUGUUCGUCACUUAUCAUGUGAUAAUCCUAGCUGCUAAUAGAUUUUAAUUACAUCAAGUUAUUUAUUUAUUUGUCUCAGAACUUAAAAAUUCUAAAUGUGGACAAUUGUUCCCAUUUGAGCGACACGAUUCCAGUACUGUUGAAGCACGGCUUAAAAAAUUUGGAAGAAUUGAAUAUUAGCAAAAUUGGAAUACUGGUGGUGUUUCAGUCGGAAGCUAUUAUCGCUGAGGGACAAGCAAACAAACCAUUCCCAUGUUUGAAAGGGCUGGGAUUGGAAGAUCUUCGAGAACUGCGAGUAUUAUAUCAUGAAGGUCCCGCGCAUAAUUUUAGCCUGCAAAAUCUUACCCGAUUAACAGUAGAUCGGUGCACUAUGCUGAGACGGCUCCUCUCAUCAACACUUGCUCGAAAUCUGUUGCAAUUGGAGGAGUUAUCUGUUUCGAAUUGCUUGGAAUUAGAGCAAAUCAUUGAUGAGGAUGAGGAUGAAGAUCAUCUCCAACCUGUAUGUUUCCCAAAACUCACAAGGAUCACUGUCUGUUUUUGCCCUAAGCUAAAGCAUCUAUUUCAUAUCAGCGUAGCUCCAAGUCUUCCAAAACUGAACUACCUAUUCGUAGUAGGUAAUGAUGAAUUAGAAGAAGUAUUCUGGCAUAAAGGUGGAGCAGACGUCACGGAUUACAAUGAAAUUGUUACGAAUGAACUUCAGGGCAUAGAACUGAUAAAUUUACCAAACCUCACCGACUUUUGGCCUGCGGGUUAUCCAAACCCAGUUCCACCUGGACGCUUUCUUGGUUGUCCCAAGCUUCGCGCAAAUUCAGAAGGAGAUUGAUGAUUCCGAGAAUUCUGGAGCAGAGGUAAGCUCUUGAGAACUUUAAUUAAUUGACUCUAUAUAUAGUUGGUUCAUGUUUUCGUUUGUGGUAGCUGAUUGAUUCAUCCUAAAAUCCAGACACCCUACUUACAUAAAAAUACAUAUUGACAUUAAUUUCACAGAUGAGCCACGGAAUUCUACCAAAAUUUUCCUUCUCAUAUAUAUAUAUAUUUUAAAUGUUUGCUUUUCUUCUUCUUAUAAUUUUCUCUGUUUGCUUUUUUAAUUUUACUUAUCAUUCAUAGUUAAUGCCCAAGAAGCUAACAAGCUUUGUUCUAUACUUGUUUUCUUGGUGGAUACUUAAUAUUAUUGCGUGCUUAAAUGUUGAAGACUAAAGUUUCAAGGCUUGUUCAACUUUAAAAUUUACCUGUUCCUUUUGCGUUCACUGUUUCUUCAAUUGUUAAAACUUUGGCAAAUUUGGAGGCUAAAUUGAUGGCCUUUUCGAUGGGCACUAAUUGGGCCAAUUUAGUAAUAGCACGCAUUUUGUAUUGAGGAACUUGAAAAUGUUCCACCUUUCUAGACGGCGAAGAAAGUGUGUAAUGUCGUGACAGCAAUACUUUUUAUUUUUUAUGUGAUAGUAUUGGUUAUUUUUGGAUUUUGCGAAAGUGAGAUUUUUGUUAGCCACCCGUUCUUUUUGGCUUGUGGAAUGUGCAUUUGAAAGAGCAUUUUAUAAGAUGAUUUUACUCAAUUAUGUUUUUUAAAAAGAUAUUUAAUUUCCUUCAUUUUUCUUAAAGCAUUUCAAAUAUUUUUGGUUUCACAAAGCAUUCAAUUAUUUUUCUUUGUUAAAAAAAAUUUUUUGUUGCUUCAUUAAAGUUUAAAUUAUCGCCAAUCCACCUUUAAAUUGUUCUAUUAUUAAAAGUACUACAAUACUUUAAAAUUAUAUCGUUCAUGCACCUUAAUUUUACAAUAUAUAUCAUUCAUCCAUUAUAUCGCUUGCUUCCAUUAAAAAAGUAAUAGAAUUAUAAUAAAUUGACCAUUAUGUCUUUGAAACUCAAUUUAAUGUUAAAAAAAUAGGAAAAUUAUUAACCAUAUACCCUAAGUUUGCCCUAAAUGAUUUGAAAAUUUAAAUUUAUUUGAUUUCUAUUUUAAGUUAGUAACUUCUAUCAACUAAUGUAAAAAGACAUAGGAAAAUUAUUAAUCAUAUAUCCUAAAUUUGCCCUAAAUAGUUUGAAAUUUUGAAUUUAUUUGAUUUUCUAUUUUAAGUUUGUAACUUAUAUUAACCGUUCACCAAAAUGUUAACAUUGUUAGAAUAAUUUAUAGAAUUUAAAUAAAAUGCUAUUUUACCCUUGGAUUUAAGGACAUUUUUUACUUUGCACCAUAACUAAUAUAAUAAAUUUAGCUUUUUUAAUUAUGAAAUCGAAUUAAACUAUUAGAUUGAUUGGGCAUUUAUGAAUUAGGGUUUAGGGUAAUUUGUGGAUUUAGUUUAUUAAUGUAAAUUUAUGAAGAUAAAUUGAGAAAAUAAAUUAGAAUAUUUUUAAUUAAGAAAAAAUAGAGUUUAUGUUUAUUUAAUUGAAUAUCAAUUAUAAAAAGUAUUUUUUUUAAUGUUUUAAGCCAUUAUUUUAUUUUUUAUUUUGCAUAUUGAGUGUCUAAAUUAUCCUUAUGAAGUCAUUAAUUACAAACUGCAAUUAACAUCUUGGAGGUCAUAAACUUAGAUUGGAAAAUUGAACAAAUUUAAAAUUUUGUAGCAAUUUUGAUAACAUGGUAAGCUUAGAUAAUUUCUCUUUUAUUUUUUUGUGUUAAAUGUCUAAAUUACCCUUGUGACGUCUAUCACUUUUUGACGAAGUUAAUGAUUUGGUGGAUAAAUGAUGAUUGUAAAUUUAUGGUAGAUGAAUGAUCCAACCUAAAAAUGUUGUAAUAUUUUUUUUAUAAUAGCGCAAUUUAAGGGCGGACAUUUGAUAAUUUCCUAAGUUUAUAAGUUAAAUAAAAAUAGUUUUUAACCUUUCUGAUACAUUUUUGUACCAAUAAUGACAUAGGGCUUGAACUUAUUUGAAAUCAUAGCGGACCGGUGCUUUUUUUUUGGGCUUUAAAUAGCUCUACAAAUAAACACAAUAAUAAACGUUAUGUUUGGCACAUAUAUUCUUUUCUCUGAAUUUGCUCAUCAAUUUACAAAGUUAUUGCACAAAUUACUUGUCUCAAAUAUAUCUCUUGAAGGAAAUUUUGGAACUUUUGUUAAUGUUAUAUUUUGGGAUAAAUGACAAAACAUAAGCAUAAAGAUUAAUAAAAGUUAUAGGUAAAAUAUCACAUAUCAACAAACAAAAAAGGUUACCAGGCUAAUAAUAAUAUUAGCUUGAGGCAAUCCUCCAAUCUUGAGAUAACCUUUAAGUAUAAUUUUGGGUCAUAGGCUUCUAUAUAGUAUCGGAGACAAAUUUAUGCACAAGUGGAUUCAUAUUACCUUACCACAUGUAAGGACCAAGCAAAAAAAUCGGCUUGCACGUGAUAGAUGGUGAUAGGAAAAUUAUCCCACAUCGACUGGAAUAGUUACUAGAUUAAUAGUUUAGCUUGGGGCAACUUAUUAUGCAGUUGUUUGAACUUGUAUCGUGGAUGAUAUCAAUUCGUGACUUUGUGCGCCACUUAUGUCUUUCUGAUUAAACCUAAAUCUUAUAAUUCAAUAUUUAUUAUAAUCAGCUUAGUUUUAUCACUUCAUGUAUCUAUUUUGUACCCCUAUUUUGCAAUUCAAAUGUUAUAUUAAACAAUAUAAACUAUAAAAAAAAGUCAUUUACGUUCAUGUCAACAAAAUGCACGUGAAAUCACAAUUCCUUCACUUCCUACCAUUAGCCUAAAUUUUUUGGUUCACUGUAGAAGAACGCGUAUUAUUUUUAGAACGUAUCAAUAUUAUUUUUUUCUUGCAUGUCCAUGUUUUGUGACCAAGAUGUCGUUAUAGCGAACAAGUUGUUAAGCAAGCCUAGAACACUCCUCAAACUAGCGAAGCAAGAACACUUGCAGAAAAUACUAGAGAGAAGUGUUGCAAUAUGGCUGAAUAUGAUUUUAUUACUCACAAAGAGAAAAUAUACAAGAAAGCUUUUUACAAAAGCUAGAGAGCUUGUAUGUGUGCUAGAGUGUUUGUGUGUGUGGUGUGGUUGGUGGGCAAAUGAGAGGGUAUAGGUAUUAGAGUUCUAGGGGAAGAAACUUCCUAGCAACUUCCAUAAAUAUCCUGGGGACCUAUGUGGAGAAACUUAGGAACUUUUAGCUUAUUUACAAUUUGUAGAUAGUUCUAGAUCUUGGGCCGGGCUUGGGUGAUUUGCUAAGCACACUACGGUUGGCUGGUUGUGUUGGCAGCCCAUUUCUAAGCAUCCCACUUCUAAGCGCACUCUAUGUCUAGGCGCACUUCUAACAAUUGCCUUGGGUCCAACUCCAUUAACUGUAGAACAUGAUUCAGUAAAUAUUAUUAGUCUGAUCGAUGCAAGUUUGUCUAACAGGAAAGAGACUAGUUGGCUGGUUCCAGAGGUCAAGGGACUUACAAUUAAUAGAGGUUUCAUUUUGCAUAGUUAAACAUGCACCUAGAUCUUGUAAUGUGGUGCUCAAAAUUUAGCCAAGCUGGCUUUUUCUUUAUCAUAGGGGUACAUUUGAAUCGAAGAUUGUCCUUGUUGAAAUUGCCAGGAUCUAUUAUUAAUAUUUCGUUUUGACAAUAUUUAACCAAUACUUUCUUCAAAAUUACAAAAAAAAAAAAAAUGUAUGUAUAGGCACAAAAGUGAACAAAAAAAGGCAUCUUCUCGGCUCCCAAAGGUUUUGUUUACCUUCCUCUUCAUAGGAUUCCUGUGAUUUUCUCUUCAUUUCAUUAAUUUUUUUCACAGUUUUAUACCAUUUUUAUUUAUUUACCUUCGUUUUUUAACUGGGCAUGUUUUUGUUUGAUUCUAGUUUAUCGAUCGUCCUUAUUCUUUCAUUCUAAUACGUUAGAGUUCGUAUGGAUUUCAAAAUUCUACGUUUAAUUAUGGUUUUGACUUGUUACUUGAUUACUGUUACUGGGUAUGCGCUUGUUUACAAUUUAGGUUCUGUCUUAUUGUGGUUCAUUAUUAUUUUGAGACUUUGUUUCGAUUGACUGUUAUAUAUGUCUAAUUAUUUUCAAUGUUUAGACCUCAAUUUUCAGAGAUUUUGAUGUGGUUGUGUCUGAUUAUGGGUUUCACAUUUUAGUCUAGUUCUUGACACUAGUGGUUUUUGAGUUAUUAACAUUAUUUCAUUUUCCUUGUUUGAUACAUUGUUGUUUUCUAUGUGGAUAAUAAUAAGAGUAUUGGUGCUGGUAUAUUUAAUUAAUUUGUUCUAUGUUGUUGUUUUACGCCUUAACUUCAGAAAGUUGUUUGGUAUAUAUACAACUAGUUACUUGUUGUUUUAUGUGCUCGAUUAUUGAAUUAUAAUUUUAAUCACAUUAGUUUUGAUUAUCAUCUGUUAAAUAUGCCUCAUCAGCUUCAAUUAUCUAUGUCUUCACAAGCUGCAGGCAUUUGUUCUUAGAUAUAAGUUGAGAGGCUGAUGGACGUAUAUUUGAGCUUUUCAAGUCAGCUUCUUUUUAUGAAUUUGUGAUUUUCAAUCGCGGUGUGUUUGUAUUCUGCUUGAAGAUGAGAUUUCUUAGAUUUUGAUUCCCUUUAAUUAUUAACUUAAUUAGUGGACUGUGUGGGAACAUAAUCUUGCAGCAUAGCUUUUGAGCAGAGGGAGACUAUUGUCUACAGUGAUCAAACUUAAAUUAUAGGAGCUUGUUACGGUACUGACUCGGUAUAUAACACAGCAAAUGGGGCGCUUCCACGCAUUGCAUGAGGAAAAGCAACCCAAACUCAGCUGAUGCAAGGCCAAUGUGGACUCAGCUGUUAGUUACAGAAUCUGCAACUUGGCUGAGUCCUAAAUAUAAUGUUCUCUAAGUUUCUGAUGUCUUUUAAUUUUAAUGGAUUUGUGAUCAAAAUUGACUUUUAUGAUAACUUUGUAUCUCAACUAGUUUAUGUGUUUUUGCUUGGUUGAUAUCAUUUCUUGACUACUUUAGACCAUUAGGGGGAGAUUAUGUCAUAUUUUAUUGCUUUCCUGAAAUAAAUUUUUCCUUAUAGUGGUACUUCUAUCAAAUCAUGAUGUGCCUUAUUUAGGAACUUCAAUCUUCUUUCCCUCUUAGAUUGGCACAAAGCAGUGGCAAUAUUAUGAGUUUGGUCCAUAAGUAGUUCCUGAACUUAUUUGUCUUCCUAGAAUGGCAGGGCCAAUAGAAGUCUAUUACAGGUAGAUCAUCAGCUUCUGCAGUUCAUUGACACAUAAAGACCUCUAGCUGUAGUGAUGUUUCAGCGAUUUCAUAACUUAUACAAUAGAACAAAGUUUAUAAGAUUAGAAACUCAAAACCCAUUUGUCUUAUUGUUUAGAAGUUCUCAUUUAAAGCCUGAUUCGCAAAACCAGUCAUCAACUUUAGAACCAAAAACUGUCCAACACAAUGUGGGAAAUUUUUGGUAUUUGGAUAACAAAAUCCAAAUUCAAUACCCCGUUUUGAAGCAGCAAUUAAACUGAAAAAAAUCAAGAUCUUCAUUCGGGAUUGUUAAAUACAUGGUGGCAGAUGCUAAUAGCCACGGGUUUAGUUAUAUGCCUCAAGUUGUAAGAGAGCAAAGAAAGAAAGAGAAUUGUUUAACCAAUUAGAAAUCAAGGGUGUAAUUAGGCCUGCUAAGCCGUAUGUAUUGGUGACUGUGGAAGGAGAUUUUAUAAUAAUGACAAGCUUGUUAAUCAUUCUAAGCAAAUUCAUGAGGGCGAAUAAAAGAAAAGGUCGAAUCAAAUAAAAUCAUCUAGAGGGAAGGUGAGAGUGCUUUUGGUUGGCAACUAUUCAAUAAAGAUGGAAAAAUAUAAAAUGGCUGCAAGCGCAAUUUUGACUCCAAAAGUGGGUUAUGGUUUUGCAGAUAAGUUAAAAAGAGCAUGGUUUUGGGUCAGGAUGGUGUUAGAUAAGCCACAAGAUGACAAGGUGGACAAAAGAAGGUUUGGGUGUUUAGUGGUUGUGUCGGAUGAUUCGGAUUUUGUGGAGGUCUUUCAAGAGGCAACGUUGAGGUGUCUGAAGAGGGUUGUUGAAGGGGAUAUGAGUGAUGGGGUGUUGAAGAGAAUUGCUAAUGCUUUUUUUUCUUGGAGCGAUUUAUUAAUGGGAAAGUAAUUAGGAAGGAAGUCGUAUCAGUUGUGAUGGAAGGACUAGGAUGUUUUGAAGAGAUUGGACUUAUAAUCCAAAUGUGGAGAAAAAGCACUUGAUUGGGAUGAUGUAAGUGAGGAUCCAGACAUUAAUGAUAUAACUCAUGCCCAGCGAUGUAGAUUGUAUUCAGAAGAGAGAUAACAAUGCUUGGUGGGAGUUGGAAUCUUCUGAUGCAGAAGCCACUUCAUAACAAUUGGGCUAACAGCAAUACAUAUUCUGUGACUAGGUAAAGUUCCAUUUCAUUUUCUUGCUAGCAUUUUUGGAAAGUUUCUAAUACAUGAAAGCAUGAAAUAAUUGUUCCUUGUUGCAAAUAAUGUUUUAAGCAUUAUUUAUAUGGCUUCCUUUUUUUAAAAGGAAAAAAAAAGUUGUUGCUGAGAAUCAAAAAGAUUGUAUUUGGCUUAUGGUAUCUUACAUAAAAUGUGUCAAAGAUUUCCAAAAAUAAAUCUCGCAAUUUAAAAAAAAACAAGGAAAUUCAAUAGAAAGUAUAGACAUUGAUAGGAUAGUAGAAGUCAACCUUUGCAGCUCCGGCAUAUUGGUAUCCUGAACCAUAUAUUCCUUUUGUUUUUUUGUUUUUUUACCCUGAAUUAUCAGUCUGCCUUUGAAAAAAUCUUUGAUAUGUGCUAGAAGAUGUAAUAUUUUGACUUGAUUUUCUUGAAUGAGAAGGUUCGAAUCUCAAACCUUUUGUUUUCAACACGAGAUUUUAUUAUCUCAACUAGGAUAGUUAAUUAAAUUUUUGUGUUAAAUUUGUUGCCAUCAACGUCAUGCCUUUGAAGCAGCACUCAAUCUUUUAUACUUAAUGAGAUAGAUCUCCUGUAUUAAAUAGUUAAUUCCAAUAAUUUUGUGAAACUAUUUAUCACUCCAUCCUACUAUAAAUAUUUAAUCAAUUGCGUGAGGAUCUACUAUAUAUAUUUCAAGUGUCGUUUACACUAAUUUCCAUCGCAUAUGUUUGGACAGAAAGGGGACCAUAAAGUUGUUCUUGGAAUCUUUAUUUUCGUUGCGUGGCAAGUGUGCUAACAUUUUCAUGUGACAGUCAAUUUUGUCUUAAAGGACUAUCAACAAUUAAUGGGGAUAUAUAUACAAAUUACACACUCAUAUAUCUCCCCACUAAUCUCCCUCUGUGUGUGUGUGUGUUUCUCUUUGGAAGAGCAUUCUGUUAAAAUGAUUAUUGUGGAAUUGUAUUUGGAACUGUUAAAAUGAUUUUACUCAAUCGUAUUUUUUAAGAAGAUAUUUAAAUGCCUUUUUUUUUUCUUCUUUUUCCACACACAUUUCAAUUGUUUUUCGUUUAAAAAUUUUUGUAGUUGCUUCAUUAAUUUUUAUAAAUUACAUAAAAAUAGUUUUAACCAUUUUACUUUAUUUUUAUCCCAAUAAUGACAUAUGGCUUGAAAUUAUCUGGAAUCGUAAUGAAUCGAAAUGCCUUUUUUUGGCUUUAAAAGAGAUCCACAAAAUAAAUGCAAUAACAAACCUCACACUUGCCAUAUGUAUUAUUUACUCCAAACUUACUCAUCAAAACAAUAAUAUUAUCGGAAAAAUUAUUUGCAAUAUCACUUAAAUGCAACCAUAAGUCAUAAAUGAGAUAAGUCAAUAAAUUCUCAAAAGAAUAUUUCAUCCAUCACAAUUUUUUUAUUCAAAAGUUAUCCCAAAUAAUAUGACACUCAUCAAUUAAUUAGUGAGAUAAUACAAUUAAUUCAUUUUAAUCUUAUAAAAAAUUAACAAUCACUUAAUGAAUUGCAUAUCAUUUAAAAUGAAAAUUGAAAUACCUAUUAUUAUACAUUUGGCUAUUCACCUGAGUUCAAAUCUUAGGGCCAGGACAUAAGGGAUAAAAAUUGAAUUUAGAUUUUACCCACUUCAUUACCUUUAAAAAAAUUUAAAAAAAAUAAAUGAUAUUUUAAAAAACAAAAAAAAAAUAAAACUUUUUAAAAAAAAAUACAAAAUGAGCAUAUUAAACGACAUUUAUGGCUUAAUUGAAGUGAAACGUACUUUUGACAUAUAAAAUUCUAUGACUCCAGGCGGCGCCUUACCUAGUCUUGGUCAAAUUAUUAAAUGUAAAUAAAUUUGUAGAAAGUAUGACCGAACUAAUUAAUGCGGCAUGACCAAAAUCUUUGACCUCCAUGAAAUUAGGGUUGAUCAUAAUUGUUGUUACAUUUUAAUAUAAUAAUUAGGGAAAAGCUAAGCUACGGAUACCAACAUCUUAAAACUUAUAAACAAAAGAGUUGAACUAUUGCACCCCUCAUGAAACUCUUUUUUUUUUAAUUAUAUUUAUUUUAUUUUUCAAAAAUAUCCUUUUUUAAAUACACUUCUAAUUUUUCAUUUAAUUUUUUAUUGUUUAAACGCAAAAUAGUGCUAUGCUAUUUUUCAUUUCUUUUGUAAUUUUAUUAUUACCCUACGCACAAAUUAAAAACUUUUAUGAGAGAUAAAUUUUUGAAUGUUAAUCAUUGGCUUAAAUUAUAUAUAUUUUAUCUUAUAAUUUUAAAGCUAUCUUAAGCACACAAAUAUUUAAUCAAUAAGAAAUUUAAAAAGAAUAAUAGAUUAUUCUAAAUUUGUACAAUUUAUUUUAGUUAGAUACAAAGCAACCUGUAGAAAAUUAGAAGAAAAAAAAUUAUGAAUGUGAGUAAUUUGUUUGAAAAAAAAAAAACUAUGUUAUUUAAUUCUGUUGUCUUUAAGUGUAAUUUUAUUUGAAGUAGGAUUUUAUAAGGAUAAUCAAAGGGUGCCAAUAACUUCACUCGAAACAAAAAAUUACCAUCAUAUGAAAAUAAAUGAUGAAAAUCACAUCAAAGGAGGGAAAUUAAUUUUUUACCCAACUAAUGAUAUAUAUAAAUAGUGAUGAAUUAUAUUAUUGGAAUUUAGACUCAUUUCCUCCCAAAGAAUUCUAAAUUUAAACCCAAUUCUCUUAUACAAAAAUUUCUUCUUCUAACUUUUCUUAACAAUUAAAACAUUAACUUUGACUUCAGGUGUUUAUAAUGGGUCCAGCUAUGUUGCAACAGUAGGACAGUACCAUUGUUGCUUUCAACCAUUGGAUCUUGUUAAUGUAACUGUACAACUAUACAUCCAAUGGCUGGUUGCAACAGUAGUACCAUACCACUGUUGCAACAUAGUUUUGCAUGUUUAUAAUAAAUACACCACUUAAGCCGUCUCUACCAAACUCAGAAAAUUCGAAAGGAGAGAAAGUUAAUUAGAAGAUUGACGGUUUUGUCACCUCCAAUCUUUUUUAUUAAAGUUUUAUAACAUGUGUAUGUACUUUUCCUUAUUGAUUGGGAAAUACAAACUGAAAACACACAACACAUAACAAUAUUCUGGGAGCUUCCGUCUUGCUUUUUUCUUCUAAUAAUUGGUUUUAACUUUCUUAGUUUUGGAUUGCAAUAUUUCUAGCAAAUUAGAAUCAUCAAAUUUGUUAUGGUUCUUAAUUUCUUCUUCUUAGAAUAUCACUUAUAAGUUUUGCUUUCGGAAUAGGAGAAUACAAACUAAGUUUAAUUCCAAUUCUGAUAGAGCAAUGCAUUGGAACAUGCAUCAAUUUUCAUGUCCCACAAGUAAAAAAAAUCUAAAGUAUCUUUGUCACAUUGUUGAUUUUGAUCCAUCUCUUUAUUUGGAAACUACUUUUAGAAUCUCCAAAUAAAAUCGACGACAUGAAAGUUCUACCUAAUUAACCCUUGGAAAAAAAUUGACAGCUGAAGCUUCCCAAUUAGAUUUUGUGGUGACACAACAGUAUCACCUAUAAGUAAUUGAAUCAUAUGCACAAACACAGGAUCAGAUUCCCUCACAAUUCCAGAAAAAAACCUAGAACAAGUUCGCCUCUACUUAAAGUACCCUUCGCCACUGUCUCCCUCCACACACCUCCUCUGUUUUUUCUUUGAGCAAGGCAACCCAAAAAAUAAAAUAAAAUAGAAUAAAUUCAGCCAUUAAUGGCAGCCACAACACAGGCACCGCCAAUAUCUACCCUCUCUCAAACCCAUCUCCCUCUGCUAACCCUAAGCCGUCGCAAAAAACCCAUGUUUCUCUUUUCUCCAAAACCCUGCAAAAAAACCCUUUUUUUCCUCAGAAACAACAAUCUUUAAUCCACAAAAAUAACUUCACUGUUCUAUCAAAAAAACCCCAUCUCUGAGUUUUUCACCACAAAUAAAGAAUACCCAGAUGACGGUUUUGGCAGUUUUGAUGAUGAUGACGACGAUAAGCCCCGUGAGGAGUGUGGUGUUGUGGGCAUCUAUGGUGACCCAGAGGCCUCCCGUUUGUGCUAUUUGGUGCUACACGCGAUGCAGCAUCGCGGCCAAGAAGGUGCAGGUAUAGUUGCUGUGAAUAACAAAGUUCUUCAGUCUAUUACUGGUGUUGGUUUAGUCUCUGAUGUGUUUAAUCAGUCUAAACUUGAUCAAUUGCCGGGUGAUAUGGCCAUUGGUCAUGUUAGAUAUUCGACUGCGGGUAGUUCUAUGCUUAAGAAUGUGCAGCCUUUUGUUGCUGGGUACAGGUUUGGUUCUGUUGGUGUUGCACAUUAGUUAAUUAUAAUACUUUGAGGGCUAAGCUUGAAGAUAAUGGGUCCAUUUUUAAUACUAGUUCUGAUACUGUGGUUGUUCUCCAUUUGAUUCCGAUAUCGAAAGCUAGGCCGUUCUUUUUGAGGAUUGUGGAUGUUUGUGAGAAGCUUGAGGGUGCUUAUUCAAUGGUGUUUGUUACUGAGGAUAAGCUUGUUGCGGUCCGUGACCCGUAUGGGUUUAUGCCGUUGGUGAUGGGUAGGAGGAGUAAUGGUGCUCUGGUUUUUGCGUCAGAGACUUGUGCACUAUUUGAUUGAGGCCACAUACGAGAGAGAGAGAGAGGUAUAUCCCGGUGAAGUUUUGAUGGUGGAUAAAGAUGGGGUUCAAUCACUUUGUUUGAUGCCUCACCCUGAACCUAAGCAGUGCAUCUUUGAGCAUAUUUAUUUUGCUUUGCCCAAUUCUGUUGUUUUUGGUAGGUCUGUUUAUGAGUCGAGGUAUCAUUUUGGGGAAGUACUUGCUACCGAGGCUCCUGUUGAGUGUGAUGUCGUGAUUGCAGUACCAGAUUCUGGAGUGGUGGCUGCACUUGAGUACGCUGCGAAAGCCGGGGUGCCAUUUCAACAAGGGUUGUUAAGGUCACAUUAUGUUGGGAGAACUUUCAUUGUGCCUUCCCAGAAAAUUAGGGACUUUGGUGUCAAGCUUAAGCUCUCUCGAGUCUCUCCUGUAAGGUUGUGGUUGGAGGGAAAGAGAGUUGUGGUUGUGGAUGAUUCGAUAGUGUGAGAAAGAACUUCAUCAAAAAUUGUUAGGUUGCUUAAGGAGGCUGGAGCUAAUGAGGUUCACAUGAGAAUUGCAAGCCCACCAAUCAUAGCUUCUUGUUACUACGGAGUAGACACUCCAAGUACUGAGGAGUUGAUUUCCAACAGGAUCAGCGUUGAGGAAAUCAGGGAGUUUGUUGGGUGUGAUUCGCAUGCUUUUCUGCCGAUUGACAGCUUGAACAAGUUGUUAGGCGAUGAUUCUCAGAAUUUUUUUUUUAGCUUGCUUCUCUGGAAAGUACCCUGUUAAGCCCAAGGAGAUGAAGGUGAAACGGGUUGGUGAUUUUGUGGAUGAUGGGUUGAAUGGAAGCAUUCAAUCCAUUGAUGGCGGAUGGGUUAAAGGACUUCGAAAUCAGGACAAAGUUGAAGAUGUUAUUGCUUCCAAUACCUCAAAGUUACCACUUUGAUGCCACCUUUUGAGAUCAAACCACCACUAUUUUUAUUAUUAUUAUUAUUAUUUCUUUUGCUUUCCUGGAUGAACUAGGCUCCAAACUCUGAAGAUUAAACAAUUUUGUCUGACUCUUUAAUGUUUUCCAAAGUUUUAAUCUUAUAAGCUUGUGUUUGCCUUUCUUUGGGGAUAGAUUAUGGAAUUAACUUACUGUACUGUGACAUAAAAAUUCUUUAAAUUGAAGUGCUGUGUUUUAGCUUGUUUGGGGAAACUCUUCUGCUUCAUUCGUAACGGUAAUAUAAUUACGGCUCACGUCUGCAGAAAUAUUUUCAUCAAUUUUCAUUAACUAAAGAUGUAAUGAUUAAUACCUCCUGUAUUAUUUAAUUUCUUAUUUUCUUUGAUGCCCUUUUCAUCAAAUUUCAUUAACUAAAUAUCCGGACUUGGAACUUUUACCCGUAUGCAAAAUCAAUUGUGAUACACAGUUAUUAUCACUGCGAGUAUGAAGUGGUAAAUAUAAUUAGGGAUGACAGUGGACAGGGUUUUAAUUUAAGAUUUGUUAAACGGUCUAAACCUAUUAAUUUUAAAAAAUAAAGGGAAAUCUCAAUCGGCUAUAAAAAAAAUAAUAAGGAAAAUGCAUAAAACUUUCAAUUUAUUGUUUUUAAUUUGUAUCACUCGUGUACUACGCCAUUGACAUUUGACAGCUUUAUAAUAUUAAACGGAAUUUUAGUAAAAUGAGUAUUUUAUCCUUAAAUUUUAAGGUUAUUUUUUUAUUUUGUACCAUAAAGCAAUAAAAUGAAAGGGAAGGAAAAGAGAUAUAGAACAAAAAUAAAUAAGAGAACAAAUUGACCAAAUUAAAAGUUUUUUGUGUGUAUAUAUUUAUAGUAGAAAUCUUUUGAUAGAUGGUUGAUAGUUUUUUAAAUCUCAUAAAUUAUUUACUACGAGCAAUAUAAAUGUGUACAAAACUUAUAAAUCCAACAUAAUAUUUAAAGCAAAAAAAACGCAAUAAUCAAAUAAUGUAUCAAACCAAUCAGUCUAAAACAUAAACUUUCGAAGCAUGGAAUGUACUAGUCCAUGAAAACGCCGCGUUUUAUGUUUAAUGCGUCUUGGUCAAGUGCCUGAAGUGAAAGCAUAUUUCUGAAUAAUACAUAACAUGCUCUGAAAAUUAAAUGCGGAAGUUUUAGGGUACGUUUGGGAUUGAGGUGCUGUAGCUUUUAAGUUACAGCUGCUGUGAAAAAAAAGAAGCUGUAAUUAUGAAAUAAAAGUUAAUAAUAUAUAGUAAAUAUAAAUUUCAAAUAAUAAUUUUGAUAAAAUUAUUAAAGAUACAAUAAAUUUUAUAUUAUACAAGUGAAAAAUCAUAUCAACAUAGCUUAAAAGCUACAGCAGCUAGUGUUUACCAAACACUUUAGUGCUGUAGCUUUUAAGCUACAGCUGUCCAAUCUCAAUCCCAAAUGCACCCUUAGAACCUAACCUCCAGUCAUUGAUGUGUUUUGCAAUUGUUUGCUUUCCGAUUUUGAUACUUCUAUAGCUUCGGUAAUUAUUAAUAAUAGUGCAAUUUUUUGUUUUUUUUUUUUAUUACAAGCUGCCAGGAACCAAAACCAUUUCACCAUCUCCUUGUAUUAUCAUCUUUCCAUCAAAGAUGAAGUGAUGGUGUUUUACUCGCACCAUGCCGAUUAAAGAUGUUUUUGUUAGUACUCAUAUUAUGAUUGUGAUAAGACAUUAAACACCGUAUCAAAUUUUCCAUGUUAGAAAAUAAUGAUUUUUCCCCAUAUAAUCUUUAGAAAUUAGAAAAAAUUUCUUUAAGACUUAGAAUGAGUAGCCUCUGAGAAUUAAGUCCGUUUACUUUGCGUGAGUUUGACUAUUGAUCUUGACAAUUUCCCAUUCAUCAGAGAAAACCAUUCACUUUAUUUGAACCAUUAAUGGAGAAAUAUGCCAUACUGCUUGCUUGGGAUAGAGUUCAUCUUCUUGCUUCACUUUGGGCUUCCGUUUCUAAGGAGUUUCAAGAUUCAUCUUUUUUCUUCAUUAAUCUAAACUGGGAUGGGGUUUUGAGAUAGGGAUUUGUAGCUGAUUCUAGCCUUUUAUAGGGGUGAGAUUGGGUGUGCCUUUUUAUAGCACAAAUAUUCAGUUUUUUGUUUUCUUAGUGAACAGCUGGUCCACUAUCUGUUUUAAAAUUUUCAUCAUUAAUACAUUUUUGAGUUUCUUAUAAAAAGAUUAUGCCUUCUUACUUUUGUGGUUUUGUUUACAGGUUCACCAGCAACCAUGUCAUAAUGUUUAUAUCAGAACAAUUAUAACCUGCUCGACUACUACUCCAAGGUCCAUUGUUCCAAUGACCACCAUUAUUCUAAUUACCCCUUCCUUGCCCUGAAAAACCUCUACCAAAGCCACCUCUUCCUCCAUUGUUACCACACCAAUUAGCAUUUCUAUUCCAGUUACCUUGGUUGCCCUGAUAGUAAUUAGCUUGAUUACUAGACUUCUUAUUGUUAUUACUAGGUCCAGCCUAAGCUAUGUUAGCAGCAUAAUUCAACUUUGCUUCUUUAUUUGCACUCGGAUGAUUAAAUUUAAUUCUUGCUUCAUGAGUUGAAAGCAUAGAAUAGGCUUCAUUGGCAAAUAUUUUCAUCAUAUUAGCUUCAAUAUACACAACAACAGGGUAGUAUGGCUGGCCUAAUCUAGAGAUUAGAUGAGUAACAAAGUCUAGAGUAGAAACAGGGCUACUAGUUAGAGCAAGUUUAUUAUUUACAGCUCUAAGUUUGGCAAAAUACUCAGUUAUUGUCAUUGAUCCCUUUCUGAGAUUGCUUAACAUCAUUUUUAAGUGUGCUUUCUUAGCCAUAGUUUCUAAUCCAAAAAUUUUCUUCAAGAUUAGUCCAAAGUUUAUGAGAAGAAUCAGAAAUUACCACAAGACUAAGUAUCUCAACACUGAUGGAGGACAUGAGCCAAAUUAAUAACAAUUGAUCCUACCUUUUCCAAGCAACAAAGGCUGGAUUCUCCUGAGAUCUAUCAGCUGAGCUUUCACCAACAGCAUUUUCAACACCAUAACUUUCAAUCUCUUGAGUAAGUAACUAAUCUGGACAAAUUUUAGUUCCAUUAAGAAAGCCUUCAAGUCCAUUGGCACGCACUGAAGAGAGGAUCUGAGAUUUCCAUGUCGUAUAGUUAGAUCUGUCCAGUUUGAUCGGAUUUGUGAAGGUAAAGGAUGAAGGAGACUGAUUUGUUUUGAAUUUGUGCUUAAGGAAGCCACGACAAUUAAACUGCAAAUCUGAUACCAAGUCAAGAACUGAGAAUAUUGUGUUUGGAUGCAGAGAAAAUGUGAGAGAAACAGAGAGAAAAUGAAGAAUGAUGACUCUUACUAUUGUAUUUGUUGAUUACAAGUAUUUAUAUUGAGAUCUAAAGAAUAUUAGAAAGUUGUAUACACAAUCUACAUGACCUGAAUCUAAGUAUUACAUACAAUACACGUGAGCUGAAUCUAAGCAUUCGUAACAACUUUAACUAACUUGCUAACUCAGCUUUACACGUUUGCAUUUCUAGCAGAUUUAACCAACUCACACGUGCAACAAUCUUUAUCAGCUCACUAACUAUCUUAACAUGACUUUAGGAGGUGUAAUACACAUACACAAAUUUAAUUUCCCUUGUGAUAUUAUCAAUGGACACUUGGCAAAGCAUUAGAGGCGUACGCUUACCAUAAAUAGAUGGCCUUCCUUUGUAAUUGAAACAUCUAAAAUGAUUAGCGAGACACUAACUUGAAGUAUGGGGGCGGAAGCGUAGAAUCUGCAUUUUAAUAUUUGGCUUGCUUAUUAUCAUUAUGUUCCCUUCGUCUUUUUAUCAUUUAUGUUAUUUACAUGCGUACUUUGGAUACUUCCCAAUUUAUUUCACAACAAAGCCAAAAUUCUCAUUAUAACUCAUUUCUCAUUUUUAAUAAUCAGUCAAAUUUUGUUGUGCUUAUGUUUUCCUUAAUUUUGUUUUCUUUCUUUUAUACAAACUGGGAUUUCUUUACAAUUUAUUCUGUUGUGUUAGAAUGAAUUUUUUUUUCUCAACACUUGUUGCUUCUUGCAUGCUGUUGUUUGAACUCCCCUCAUGGAUGAUAUCAAAUUCAUGGCUUUGAGCGCCACUUAUGUUCAAGAUUAUAACUUUAUGUUUACUCUAAACCUUAUCAUUCAUUGUGAUUAGCUUUGUUUUUGUCACUGUGUUAUCUAUUUUGUACCCUUAUUCAUGUUAACAAAAUGUACAUGAAAUUACAACUCUUUCAUUUGGCACCAUUAAUCAAAAUUUAUAGGAUUUGUCUAUUUUACCAAGAGGAAUGCUCUUUAUUUGGAGAUUGUAUCAAUAUUAUUUUUUCUUGUCCAGAUUUUGCGAGCGAAACACCCACAUGAGUGUAGAAUUUAUUUUGGUUUGCUUUAUUGUAUAAUAACUUCGCUACCGUUUCUCUUUUAACACACACACACAUACAUAUUUAAUUUAUUUUGGCUUUCGCUCGAGCACUAGCUAAUAAGCAAUUUGAAUUCUUGUUUGCGUAGAUGAAGUGAAGGGUAAGUGUUGACGACACGAGUACUUACUUGGGUAAUUUGUGGCUGGUGAAUGGUUAUUAAUGUUUCCGCCAGAGUGAAAGAGGGAUCAGAUGAGAAGAAGUUGAGUGGACUUGUUACUGGGAUUCCUGUCUGGUAAUUCCAUUUGAGUGGCAAGUAUUCGAUGGAGUUGGAAAAAUAUAAAAGGGCUGCAAGGACAAUUUUGACUCCAAAAGUGGGUUAUGGUUUGGCAGAUGGGUUGAAAAGAGCAGGGUUUUGGAUCAAGACAGUGUUAGAUAAGCCACAAGCUGUAGAUAUUUUGUUGAGGAAUCAUACGGUGGAUAUGAUGGACAAAAGAAGAAUUGAGUGUGUGGCUGUUGUGUUGGAUAAUUCAGAUUUUGUGGAGGUUUUGCACAAGGCAAGGUUGAGGUGUCUGAAGACCCUUUUUUUGGGGGGUUAUAAACGAUGAGGCUUUGAAGAGAAUUGCUGAUGCUUUUUUUCCUUCGAGUGAUAUAUUAAUGGGGAAGGCAAGGAAGGAAGCCAUAUCUGUUGUUGGCAAAUGGAAGGACCGAGAUGUUUGAAGAUGUCGGAGUGGACUUAUAAUCCAGAGCUGGAGAAGAAGCCUUGAUUGGGAUGAUGCAGAUUGUAUCAAGAAUGAAAAAAAUGGUGCCUGGUGGAAGCUGGAAUCUUCCGAUUCAAAAGCUACUUCAUAACAAUCGUGCUGAAGACAGUUGAUGGUAGUAUGUUUGACAUAUUCUGUGACUAGGUAAAGUUCUCUUACAAUCUCUUGCUAGCAUUUCUGAAAGCUUGAAAUAAUUGUUACUUGUACCAAACAUAGUUAUAUUUAUAUGGCUUCCCUUUUUUUACUUUAAAUGUUGCUGCUGAGAAUUAAAAAGAUUGUGUUUGGCUUUAUGGUAUCUUACAUAAAAUUUUGACCCAGUUUUCCAUAAAUAAAUCUUGCAAAAUUAUGAUUAAAAAACUAGGAAAAUAGAAAGCAUAGUCUCUGAUAGGCUAGUGGAAGGCAACCUUUGCAGCUCAGGUUUAUUGGAAUCUUGAAUUAUAUAAUCCAAUCUUUCACUUGAAUAUUUCCUGCAACAAAAGGCACAGUUGAAGAAGUAAUGGCAGUGGCAGUGGCCAAUGUGGUCAUGCUGCUUUUUCAUUUUAUGGACUUUACCAAAAAAAGGGGUGGUGGGGGGUAAGAGAAGAGAUUCACAGGCAUGGUUUCUCUUUUUACUCUGUUUUAUUUUACUAAUGCACAAUGUAAGAGAGUAGAUUAUGUUGCAUGCUAUUGGAUUUGUGUUACUAGAAUAAUCAUAUCGUGUUAUAGAACAUUUGAGCAGUCACAAGUCGCAACUUAGCUUCAGUGAAAUCUCUCACUCUUUUUGGGGAAAAUAUUUUGGAGCUGUAAGCUGUUGAUACCGCUAUGAAUGUGCUUAAUAUUGAAGUAGAACAGACAUGUUGACAGAGAUUUUGUGGGAUUUUGGAAGUUGGAAGGAUUGGCUAGCUGCAUCUUGGUCUGGACUCAAGCUUCAUGUGCCAAGGUAUACAUGUUCUGAAUACCAUAAAUUCCUAUUGCUUAUAAUUAUUAUUUUGUCUUCAAAGAAAUCUUUGAUAUGUCCUAAGACCAUCUACUAAUUGUAACUUGAUAUUCAAGCUUGAACCUCAAACCUCAUUGUUUUCAACACCAGAGAUUUUGCCAUCUCAAAAAGAAAAGUUAAUUAAACUUUUUGUGUUAAAUUUGUAGUUAGUAAUGUCAUAAUUGUUAAGUAACCUCUCGAUUUUUUUUUUACCUCUAAUAUGGUAAUUUGUAAAAGUAUUUAUUACUUCAUCCUACCAUCCAAAUAUUUCGUUAAUUGUCUGGGGAUAUACUAUUUUAAAUGUCAUUUAAACCAAUUUCUAUCAAAACAUGCAAAUAUUUCGUUGUACAGAAAUGGACAAAAAGGAGACCAACAUAAACACGGGUGUAGUAAAACAAGUUAAUAAUAUUUACCACCACAAACAUUAGUUAAUUGAUUAUUUCUACAAUAUAAUUAUAACAAUGAUUAUAUCAAAAGUUAAGGCAUUUCCUAAACAUGAAUAAUCCUUGGCCAAUCUUUAUUUUUUUGUUAAUAUCUUUUCAAUUGCUUUGCCGUCGUUCCAACAAUUUAACAAUGCUAAUACAAAUGUAAUAAUAUUUGGAUUUUAGAUGGCUUGAUAUAUUUUGUGAGUUGAUUUAACAUCAUUUUUCUAAAUAGUGAUGCAAGAAAAAUUCAAAAUGCAAAAACCAAUGUUACGGUUGUUUUAUGUUUUAAAAGAACAAAUGUUACUAGUUUUUAUUUAUUAUAGAUCCAAAAUUUAUUUAAGAUGCCAUAAUGUAAAAAAUUAAUUGAUUAUGACAGUUUAAGAAUUGAUUAAAAUUAACUAUUAAAUAAAAAAUUGAGAUAAAUAAUAAUAUUCUAAAAAUAAACGUUUAUUUUAUUAUGUACCACUGCCACACAGCGCCUAUAAUUGUCAAUUUCACAAGAGAGCGAAAAAUCCAUGAAGUUAUAUUAUAUGAAGUAGAGUCUUGAUGUUAUGCGUGUCGGUUCGCGUCAAGAUCAAAUUUCAUAUGAAGUAUGUUAAGAUCUUGAAUCUAAUUAGGUUUGGCAUCCUAUGACAAUAAUGUUUAUAUAAAGAGUGUCUUCGCUAAUUAUAUUUCCCAUAUAAAUUAGAAUUAUGUCUAAUUUGUUAUGGUUUGAAUCUAAAUUCUACGUGGAGAAUUUGGAAUUUUCCUCAAGUGAACGAUUCAGAAGUGUAUUUUCGUAUUUGCAUGCAAUUUGAGACGGAGUAAUUUGAAUAUAGAGAUGAAUUAAUUAUUUAAUUAUACUAAUGAGAGCUGUAAAACAUCUCGUGUCAUUGAAUGAUCCAUGUUCUUUGUAAAAACUUUAGGCCCAUUCAUGCUUAGGUUCAGGGUUGGUAAAAUCCAGAUUCGGAUUCGCAUUCAUAUUUCAAUAUCUGAAUUCGUAUAAAAAAAUGCGGAUCCAAAAGCGGGUAAUAUCCGCAACGGAUACCGGAGGAUAUUCUGGAUUUCCAAAUCCAUAAAAAUUAAAAUUAAAUAAUUUAAUAUAUAAUUUAAAAGUUCAAUAAUUUACCUAAUAAUAUCAAAUAAAAUUCAAUCAUAAUUCAAUGAUUAAUAAUUCAACAUGAAUAACAUACAAUAAUCUCAUAAAUCUACAAAUAAAAUAUAAUUUUUAUUUAAUUUUUAAUAUAUAUUUUUAAUUUAAUUUUUAAUUUUAAAUAAAAUUCAAUAAUUUACCUAAUAAUAUCAAAUAAAAUUCAAUCAUAAUCCAACCAUUAAUAAUUCAACAUGAAUAAUAUACAACAACAUCAUAAAAUCACAAAUAUAAUUUAUUUUUUAAUUUUUAAUUUAAAAUAAAAUGUAUCUGGAUCCGUGUGAAUUCCAAAUUUCCAUAUUCGAAUCCACAUUUUUUAAUUUGCAGACACAAUUUUUUUCAAAUCCGGCUUUAAUUGUCAUCCCUACUUAAGUCGCAGCAUCUUUGUCAGAUUGUUCAUCAAUUCUAAUGCCGUACAUAAAAUUUAAGAGUAUAUUUAGCAUUACUUUUCAAAUAUUAUUUUUAUAUUUAUUUUAUAAUAUGAAUAUGAUUAAUUUUAGUGAAUAUGAAAUUUGUUUUGAUAAUUUAUUUUAAAAUAGUAUUAUUUAAAAAAUUAUAAAAUAAAUUAUUUGUGGGACUCAUUUCUUUUGUCUAAUUUAAUUUAUUAUGAAAUUUUAAAUGCAAAAGAAAGUUACGUGGGUCCAUGAUAAUUAUCACACGAAUAAAUCAAGAAAAAAGUGGCAUGGAUGCACUUAUGAGGCAAAUGUUGCCGAAAACAACAAAAUGUUUUUCUCUACUUUUCUUCAUUAAAAGUAUAAAAUAAAAUAAUUUAUUUUUCACCAAAUACAACAACAUCUCAGAAAAAUGUUUCAAAACAAAAAAUGACUUACCAAAAACAAUAUCAAACUAAGCAAUUCCCUUUAUUUUCAAAAUAAAGAAUAACAAGUUUUCUUACUUGCCAGUAGCCGUUUAGAUUUUAUUUAGGGGUGAAACUAGAGAUGGCUAAGGGCCGACCGGUACGUGGCAUGGUACCGGAUACAUGUUUGUAUAGUUUGGCAUGGUAGGACACAUACAGAGGCUAGGUUAGGCUAUGGAUUUUAAGAGCACAAUUUAAUUAGAGAUGUGGUAAAGCAAGACAUGUGAAAAAAACCAAUAAUAAACACGCUUCAUUAGCAGGCUAGCAUAUGACCAUCGGCCAUCAAUAGCAAGCAGACUGACAUAUAUCAAAAUAAAAUUUUUCAUUAAUGUAGAGAUUUUAUUACCAUGGUCUAUGAAAUUAGAAUUAUGUAUUGUUGUAUUAUAAUUGGUUAUUGCAAAAUUAGAUAACAUAGUUGUGUUAAUGAAAUGUUAAUUAUUUAAUUUUAAUUUGAAACUUGUAAGUAUUAAUAUUAUUAUGGACUAUAAUCUAUAACUGUAUGUAAAUUCAAGUUAACAAUAAAAUGUUAACCCUUAAAGAAAACUUUAUUAUUAUUAUUAUUAUUAUUAUUAUUAUUAUUAUUAUUAUUAUUUUGUAGGCUGUAACUUAUUAACUAGUAUUGCAUUCUCUUACUACUGAAUUUCACAUGAGCUUUAAAAAAAAUAUAUGCACUUAAAAAAAGAACGUUAGGUAUGUAGACUUCAAAGAGCAUAUCAGACACGCCCUCACUAAAAAGAAAAAGAUUGUCGUGUCAUGUGGAGCCUCUCGUGCGCUCAAUCAGACGGAUGGUGCAGCCCGUUGGGCACCUUUAGGCGAAACAUAUUUGUUUGGGGAGCAUAAUAAAAAUAGGAUAUAAAACAGCUAAUAGGAUUGCUAACAAUGGGAUAAAUUGGAGUGGUGGAGAAUCUCAUAUUUAGGGGUGGCCAAAAAAACCGUGCAUUAGAAAAAAUUGAUUCGAACUGUUUCGUUCUAUUCAGACUGGUUUUAAUUUUAAAAAAUAACUGAAAUAUAUGGUUUGUAAAAAAAACCAAAAUACAGGUUCGGUAUUCGAUUCACUCAGCUGAACUGAAAAACUGAACUGAAAAACUGAGUUAUUCUUGGAAUUUUAUUUAAAUAGACACGUGUUAAAUUUUAAUUGGUUGCGUAAGAUAACUAAAAUAGGCAUGCACACACACGAUUAGGGGUGUAUAUAUAUAUAUAUUUAAAAAUUAUUGUCGGUGUUUGUUUCCAAAUUUUCUUUUUACUUUGUGUUGUAAGUUUUAAUUGUUGUUAUUUUUUUUUUUUUUUUUGUCUUUACAACAUUAUGUAACUAUGUUUAUGUAGAUGGAGUUUGAUUAUGUAUUUUGAAAUCUUAAUAUUUCAUAUUUUGUAAGUAUCUUAUUAGUAGUUAGUAAGAUAUUAGUGAUAAAAUGUGUUUUGAAUACUUUAUAUUUAUUAUUAAUAUUUGUAAUGAAAUUAGAAUAAAUUAAUUGUUGAAUAAAAUCAUUACAUUCAUGAGGCCUAAUGGACUAACAAUUUAUAAAUUCAAAAUAGGCCCAAAACUAAAAAAAUCGAACUGAACCAAACCGAUCCGAAAAAAUCCGUUUAUGUCCGGUUUUUAUUGAGUUCGGUUUUUAUUUAGUUCUUUUUAUAAAAUAACCGAUUUAAAUCGGUUCUUCUUAAUUUCGAUUCAAACCAAACCAAACUGUACCCACCUCUACUCAUAUUCCUUGUAAAUAAUUAGACCACAUUGGUCAUUGGGAAUUGGAGAAUUGGUGAAAAAUGCUGCGGCUACUUUGGGCCUUAGUUCGGGUGAAAAUUUUUCCACCCUAAGAUUUCAUUUUUAAAUUUUGGAUGGAGUUAUUUAUAACUUAAAACAUAUUUAAAAUGCCCUUUUUUUUCAUAACACCAAAUUAAAUUAAAGAAUUAUCAUAUUUGAAAAUAUAGAUUUUACUCUAUAAAACCCACCAAAAUGCCAAAACUAUUCUUAAUAUUUUUUUUCUUCCUCCACUCUCUCUCACACACAUAUAUAUAUAUAUUGGGUAUCUCGAUGACUCUUAACAUUAAAAAAAAAAAAAUUCUCUUGUACUGCUAUGAUACUCUUAUAUUAACUUGUUAGAAUUUUUUGUUGUUAACUAAAAUAUUUACGCACACACAAAAUUUACCUUCUUCAAUUUAUACGCAUCUACAGUCCUCUAUUUUGAAUUGUAGAGUUAAUUUUCACUUAUUUAAUUAAAAAAAGCAUCAUUUUAAAGGGUCCAGUUAUAGUACUACAAUGGUACCAUACUAUAAAUGGAUCCAACCGUUGCAUCUAAUUAUGAUGGUAACUAUAGACUGAAUCCAGCCGUAGUACGGUAUUAUUGUAAUACCAUAAUUUUGCCCCAUUUUGAAUUGAGGAAUCGUGAUCUAGUUUGCUUUUUGACAACCAAAUUGCGAAAUCAUCGAUUGCUUUUUGCUAGUGCUUGCAAUAAUUUGCUUUUGGCGGUGAUACUAAUCCGGCCAAAAAGUCGAUCUAUUGGCCGACAAGAUUGAUUGUCACUUUUUCUUUUUCUUUUUUUAACUUUUUUGGUGUAACCCAUUAUAACUUUAUUGCAAUCCAAAAUAGUAGACUGGUAGUCCAGUAUUUUCACUUUAUUGCAAUCCAAAAUGGUAGAUUGGUAGUCUAGCAAAAGGUCAAUUUGUGGUUUUUUCGGUUGUUACCCACAGAUUGAACUUGGUACAAUAACACCAGAAGAAGGAUUGACUCUACUAAAAAUGAAUGCCGGUAUUAAUGUAAACGACUCCUCCUUGGAUGGUGUUUCAAAACAAGUUGCCGACGAAUGUAAGGGGCUGCCUUUAGCUAUUGAAGCUGUUGGAAGUGCACUAAGAGAAAAAGGAUCUGAUGAAUGGAAACUAGCACUAAAUAACCUAAAGGAAGCAAAACUCUAUGCAAUAGAAGGUAUUGACAAGGAUGACCAAGACGUUUACGGUUGUCUUAAAUUCAGUUACGACAAUUUAAAUAGUGAGGAGUCCAAGUUAUGCUUCUUGUUGUGUUCUCUGUUUCCAGAAGAUUAUGAGAUUUAUUUGGAGGAUUUGGUUGGAUACGCAGUGGGGGUUAUUUGGUAUCAAUGUGCUCCGUCAAUAGAAAACGCCAGAAGCCGACUGCAUGGAACGAUUAGCGCGCUCAAAGCUGCGUCACUGCUGUUAGACACUGGUAAUGACAGAUCUGUGAAAAUGCAUGACAUAGUUCGUGAUGUAGCCAUAUGGAUAGGCUCAAUAGUUCUAGAGGAGAAGAAAUUUUUUAGUAAAGUGGGCAUUGGAUUGGCAGAACGGGCAAUGAAAGAAGGCCUGGAACAAUACAGCUCUUUGGCGGGAAAUAAAAAAGAAGAGCUUCCUAGUGGUUUGGUAUGCCCUAACCUUCAUAUUUUGCGAUUGGAGAAUCCUGAAUACGACCACCGAUUGCAAGUUCCAGAACAUUUUUUUGAAGGGAUGCCAGCAUUGAAAGUUGUCACUAUAAUAGGUGGUGUUCUUUCACUUAAAUCGCUUCAGAUCCUCACCAACCUCCAGGUUCUGCAGUUGAUUCGAUGUGAGGUGAGUGACGCGUCUUUCCUUGGAAAGUUGAAGAGGCUUGAACUUCUUUUUCUCGUGAAGUCUCCCAUUAAAAUUCUUGAAGAAUUGUCGGAUGAACUUCGUAGAUUGAAACUUCUAUAUAUUGAUACCGGUUCUGUUUCUCCCAUUGCGAUAAAAAAAUUUCCUCAAUUGGAAGAAUUUUAUGGUCGGAUAAAAAAUUGGGAGGUUGAAGGGAUGAGUUCAGAAGAAAGUAAUGCUAGGCUUGCUGAGUUUAGACCUGUUGUAUAUCUUUCAAAAGAUUUUACAUUCCCAAAAUUGCAAAGGUACAUGAUUAAAGGUGAACUAGUUGGCUAUAAAAUGGGAGAAGGUGAUGAGACAAGGAGCUUAAUCAUUGAUUACCCUUUUGAAGCGACCUCGCUCGGUAUUUUUUCAGCAUUGUAUCAAAAUCUGGAAUUUCUUGAUUUGAGCAGGAUAAUAGGUUGUCAUAAUAUUGUGCCAAGCAUAGAUUCAAGGGGUUUAAAUGAGUUGACUUUUCUUUCUAUCAACAAUUGUGAAGAUUUAGAAUGCAUAAUGGAUGCCUCUCAGUCGCCGCAAGGAGAGAGUGGGAAUCCUAUGAUGCUCUCAAGAUUAGCAAGGUUAUAUAUGCAGGAGUUACCAGAACUGAAGCAGAUAUGGAAGGCGCCUGCCCAACAUGUGAGCCUCCAAACUCUUACAGCACUGAGUGUGUACGAGUGCAACAACUUGACAUAUAUCUUCUCAUUGUCACAAGCUCGAAGUUUGGUGCAGCUUAAAACUCUCGAAGUGAGUGAAUGCGAGAGACUGGAAUGCAUUGUCAAAGUAAAGUUUGAUCAUAAAGAAGGGGAAAUAAGUGUAGCAGAUGAAAAUAGAAUACUCGAGCUCUCUUUGUUGAGAAAAUUAAGCCUUGAAGAUCUCCCCGAACUCAUCAGCUUCUGUUCAGAAAAUUAUUAUUCAACUUGGCCAGCGUUGGAAAAGUUAGACCUAAGAUGCUGUCCAAACUUGACCGUCAACAAUACUGAACUUGAAGUCAAUUUGCAGUAUCUUGGAGAGGUAUGUUCAUUUGUGUUUAUGUUUUUUUCUUUCUUUUUCUUCAAUUUUAUUCAAAUUGAUAGUUUAUCAAUAAUUUUUAUGAUCCGCCAUUCAUACCACCUUGCAUUUGUCUUUGUAGAGAGAGAUGAUGAUGAUGAUGGUAGUGCUAAUGGUGAUGAUAAUAAUAAAAUCCAAUAUGUUAGGGAAACUUCCUUAUUUUAGGGCCUAAAAUUCAUUCUUCAAAUGAAAGUCAAAUUCUCGUUUUUGUUUUGAAGGGGGAAAAAAAAGGUCGGAUGCAAACACUUGUGAAGUAUAUAUAAUAUUAAACAAAUUCAAUUAAUUAGUUAAUCAAGCCAUAGAAAUAGAAUACAAAUUUUUCAUAAACAAACAGAUUUCACCGUUAUAUCACUUCACAUGAUCUCUUUUAACUAAUUUCAUUUUUUUAAUAAAUCCAUUACUUUCAUAAAAUAUAACUAUUUUGUACGGAUUUGGAUUUUUUUUUUUUGGGUGUUAGUUUAUUGCUUAUCAUGAGAUAGUCCUAGCUGCUAAUAGAUUUUGAUUGCAUCAAGUUAUUUAUUUUUUCUCAGAAAUUACGAAUGCUAAACGUGAACGAUUGCUCCCAUUUGCGUGACACAAUUCCCGCACUGUUGAAGCAUGGGUUAAAAAAUUUGGAAGAAUUGAACAUUAUCGAAAUUGGAGUACAAACUUUUCCCAUGUUUGAAGACGUUAAACUUAGAAUAUCUUCUAGAACUGCAAGUGUUAUAUUAUGAAGGUCCCACGCAUCAUUGUAGCCUACAAAAUAUUACUGAUUUAACCACAAGGGGGUGCAUUAAGUUGAGACGUCUCCUCUCAUCAACACUUGCUCGAAAUCUGUUGCAAUUGAAGAGGUUGGUUAUUGAAUAUUGCUGGGAAUUAGAACAAAUCAUUGAUGAGGAUAAGGAUCAUCUCCAACCUGUAUGUUUCCCAAAACUCGAAGCGAUCGCUGUCCGUUAUUGCCUCAAACUAAAGAACCUUUUUCAUAUCAGCGUAGCUCCAAGUCUUCAAAACUUAACUCAUCUGCGGAUAGAAAAAAAUAAUGAAUUAGAAGAAGUAUUCUGGCAUAAAGAUGGAGCAGACGUCAUGGAUUACAAUGGAAUUGUUAUGAAUGAACUUCAGGAAUUGAGACUGGAAGAUUUACCAAACCUCACCAACUUUUGGCCUGCGGGUUAUCAGAUACCAUUCCACCUGCACACGUUCGUCGUUGUCCCAAGCCUCGCGCAAGUUCAGAAGGAAAUAGAUGAUUCCGAGAAUUCUGGAGCAGAGGUAAGCUCUUGAGAACUUUAAAUUAAUUGACUCUACAUAUAGUUGGUUCAUGUUUUCGUUUGUGACAGCUGAUUGAUCUAUCCUAAAACCAAUAGACCGUCAUUACAUGAACAUAUAUAUUAACAUUAAUUUCACAGAUGAGCCAUGGAGUUCUACCAAAAUUUCCCUUCAAAUAUCUUUUUUUUUCCUUUUCAUGUUUAUAGUUCUUAUUGUUAUAAUUUUCUCUGUUUGUUCUUUAAUGCCCAAUUUAUUGGUUGGAUAGCCACCGCAAACUACAAACGAGGAAGAUGCCAGCCAAGAGGGAGACGUCAGUGUAGAUGCCCGUGAAGAAGAAGAUGACGAGAAAUAUGAUUGAAAGAAAAAAGAAAAAAAAAGACGUUAUUAUCACUCUCAUUUCUUUGGGAAUGGCUGUUAGUUAGCCACGUAAUAUGGUCUUCUUCUUUAUUUUGUACUUGGUCUUUAGUGUUUCAGAGGGGUUCAGUUCGCGCAAGAACCUAACAAGCUUUAUUCUAUACUUGUUCUGCGGGUGGUCACUUAAUAUUUAUUGCGUGCUCAAAUUGUGAAGACUAAAGUUUUAAGGCUUUGUUGUAUGCAUGUGAAGAUUCGUUCAACUUCAAAUUUUACAUGUUCCUUUUGUGUUCACUGUUAAAACUUUGGCAAAUUUGUUGGCUAAAUUGAUGACCCUUUCGAUGGGCAUUAAUUGUGCCAAUUUAAUAUGCAUUUUGUAUUGAAGAACUUCAAAUGUUUAGCUUUUUGGAUGUCAAAAAGUGUGCGUCUUGACCGUAAUAAUUUUUAUUUUUUCAGUUUGUGAGAGUGUUGAAUGUAACUCAUAAAUGGAUUGGCUAUAAAUGUGUUUCUGGAUCUCUGGUACUUGUAAAUUUGUUAGCUACCCUUUCUUCUUGGCUUGUGGAAUGGGCAUUUGAAAGGUCAUUCUGUAAAAUAAUUUUUACUCAAUCAUGUUUUUUUUAAAAAGAUAUUUGAAAGGAAAAUUCUGUAGUUGUUUCAUUAAACAAUCAACCAUCCACCUUUAAAUUUCUCUAUUAUUAAGAAUACUAUAAUAUUUUCAAGUUGUAUCAUUUAUCUACACUAAUUUUAUAAUAUGUAUUAUUUAUUCAUUAUACUUGAGACUCAAUUUAACGUAAAAAGAUGUAAGAAAAUUAUUAAACAUAUAUCUUUACCUUAUUAUUAAAAAUACUACAAAAAUUUGACUUUGUGCUUUUAUUAACCACCAAGACAUUAAUAUUAUUAGAAUAUUAACAAAAUUUAAAUAAAAAUAUCAAUUUUACCUUUAAAUUCAUUUUUUCCUUUGUACCAUAAAUAAUAAAAUAGAAUUUAGCUUUUUUAAUUAUGAAAUCAGAUUUAACAAUUGGAUUGAUUGGGUGUUUAUGAAUUAAGGUUUAUGGUAAUAUUUAGAUUUAGCUUGAUUGGGUAAAGUUGUUUAGAUAAAUUGAGAAAAUAAAUUAGAAUUUUUUUAUUAAGAAAAAUAGAGUUUUAGAUGUAUUUAAUUGAAUAUUGGUUAUAAAAAUAGUUUUUCAUUUUUAUAUUUUAAACUAGUAUUUUAUUUUGUACGUACCGUAUAGUAAUUACGGAAAAUCUAAGCUGUAGUACCACUACCUGACAUCUUUAAAUAAAAAAUUGGCACCGUAACAAUGAAAGACCAAAUCAUAUCAAAGCAGAGAAAUGAAUUUUCACCCAAAUAAUGAUAUGUAAAUAGUGCCAAAGUUUUCGAAUUUAGACUCAUUUUCUCUCCUCAAUUCUAGAUUAAAUGACCGAUGAUAUGUUAUCAAUUGCAGGCCGCAGCAUCGAUAUCCCUCUCCCUCCAGAUACCUGAAUUAUGUUCAAGUUCUGUAUAUCUGUGUGUCGAGUGUGGUGCUAGCUGGCUACUAAUUUCUUUUCUUCUCUAUAAUAUGCAUAUGUUAACUAAUGGGCAAGAGCCAAUCUCACCUUUGUGUACUCUUGAGAGAAAGAAUUUGAUUGGUUAGACCAGAGGAUACGUGAAGUUUUAUUAAUUAAAUAUUUUUUUAAUAAUUUUAAUAAAUAAAAUUAUUGUUACAAUCCAGCUCACCAAAGAUAUCCUAAAUGCACUUCCAUGCAAAUUUAUAACAAAAAAUUUAAAUGAAGUAAAGGCCACUAAAAUUCAAAGCUGGAAAAAUAGAAUUCCAACACUCCUUCUAAAAUCUUAAGAAAUCCCACUUUUUAAUAAAAUUGUAAAAAAGGACAUAAAAUUAGAAUAGAAUUUUUAUUAGAUUUCAUAUCAUUUAAAAUAAAUUUUGUAAACAUACUUUUUCAUAAUAAAUUUACUGUUAUUAUAAUUUAUUUCUUCAUUGUUUAAAAAUUAUUUUGAUUUUAUCAGUAAAAUUAAUUAUAUCACAUAUUAGGAUUAGAAAAUAGUAAGGUUGCAUGAGUUGUAAAGACAUGUUUGUUUAAUUAAACUCAUAUUAAUCGUUUAUAUAAUUUUCAGUACAAUAAAAUUACGAUUACAAAAGUGAAGUGAUAUAAGGAUUAUGUUCAGAAUUAAAUGCCUGGGCUCGUAAAAGCCCAGGCCUGGCUAUCGACACCAGGCCCGGGCUUAGCCACACUUCCGGCCCAUUUGUUAUUCCUGUGAACAAGAACCCGUAUGAAAGAACAUACAAACAGAAGUCAAAACUUGUAAUUUGGUUAAGAAUUAGGGAGUAAAACAAUAUUUCAUUCAUCAAAGAAAAAUGGCCAUGCGAGUCGGAAACUCGGAAUCGAAGAUGGUAGUCGAUUUCUCAAUUUGCUGGCUCUUUCUUGUUUCUUCAUCUUCGACUUCAGCACAGACCCACAAGAAGGAAAAGCAUAACAAGAGCAUCAUAUGGCGCUGCCUUCUGGUUCCUACUCCGGCACCAGCUCCCUCCGGUAAUUCCAUUUUUAUGUUCUUUUAUUCCAUGUGUGUAAUUUUUUUUUCUAAUCAAUAUUUUCUUUGUUUUGUUUUAAAUGCGAUGGGAUGGAGUUUUUAUGAAUUGUUAUUGAAUGAUCAUUUAUUUUCUGAUCUGGGCGGGUUUUUGAGUAGUAAGAAUAGGUUGCUCUGGUUUCGGCUUUUUCGCUCGGUCUCGUUUAUGGAAACAUUAACCUCAAGUACCUCAAGGUACAAUCAUUCUUUGCUUCAACCUUUGUUCUUAAUUUUUGCUUUAUUUGUUUGUAAGUGAAAAUGAUAGAAGUUUAACUGCAUUGUUUUUUCUUUUUCAGUAUGUGGUUUAGAUAACGAUUUUAUUCUGGUUUCUUGCUGUGUAGCUAAUGUUAAUAAUUUGAUUAGAAUUUAUAGUGCUUUAUUUUAAUUUUUUUUUUUUUGCUUUCACCAAAUGGGGCUCACCGCUUCUUGGUGCUGCCCAAACUCACAUCAUUAUCAAAUGGCUAUUCUAGUGUUAGUUUAUAUUGUUUUCGAAAAUGCAGGAUAAUGAAUCUCUUUUAGAGAACAUGUUUUGGUACAGUUUAUAAAAUCAUUUGUAAUAUUGUGUAAAUUUUGAAAUUAAUAAACAGUAGUUUUCUUUUUCUUGUAAGUUUUAGAUCCUUACUUAAAGUUACUGCAUGCGAUAUUAUUUAGUAGAUGUGAGGGUUUAAUGAGAUUGAUGAUUUAGACCCAUCUUGUUAUUGGGAAAGUUCAAUGGAUGAGGGGAAAUGUGAAUUCAAUAGGUAAAAUUAUCACGGGCUGAGGGGAAAUGUGAAGUCAAGAGGAGGACUUAUGAAGGGACCAAAAUAUCUAAUUCAUAAUUGUUAUUGAGCUUUAUAGAUUUUAGUUUUUGUGUUUUAUUGCUGUGUUUCUACCUAUUAGUACAUUUAUUUUUCCUGUGUACAUACAACAAAUGGAUGAUCAUUUUCCUUUGAAAAUGCUUGUCUAAUACCUUUUUUUUUUCUUUUUCUUUUUUACUUAGUUGAAGGGAAAGUCUUUCAAGAUAGUUUCAAUUUUUUAAUUUUGGUCUAAAAGUAGUUCUUCUACUUAUUUUUCUUCCUGGAACGGUGGGGACAACAAAAGUCUACUACUAGUAGAUCAUUAGUUUCUGCGGUUCAUUGACACAUAAAGACCUGUAGCUGUAGUGAUGUUUCAAAAAUUUCAUUACUUAUGCGACUGAAUGACGUUUACUGAUUAGAAACCUAGAGCCCAUUUGUCUCAUUGUUUAGAUUUUCUCAUUUGGAGCUAAAUUCACAAAACGUAUCAUUAAUUGUAGAACUAAAAACUGUCCAACGCAAUGUGUGAAUUUUUAGGGAUUUGGACAACAAACCCCAAAUCAAUAUCUUCACUUGGGUUGUUAAAUACAUGGUGGCAUAUGCCAAUAGCCAUGCAUUUAGUUAUGUGCCUCAAGUUGUAAGAGAGCAAAGAGAAGAGAAAAACUGUUUAACCAAUUGGAAAGCAAGGGUGUAAUUAGGCCUGCUGAGCCGUAUUUAUGUGGUGUUUGUGAAAAGAGAUUUAAUAAUAAUGACAAACUUGUUAAUUAUUUUAUCCAAAUUCAUGAGUGUAAACAAAAGAAGAGAUUGAAUCAAGUAGAAUCAGCUAGAGGGAAGAGGAGAGUGCAUUUGAGUGGCAAGUAUUCAAUGGAGUUGGAAAAAUAUAAAAGGGCUGCAAGGACAAUUUUGACUCCAAAAGUGGGUUAUGGUUUGGCAGAUGAGUUGAAAAGAAUAGGGUUUUCGGUCAGGACAGUGUUAGAUAAGCCACAAGCUGCAGAUGUUUGUUGAGGAAUCAUGCGGUGGAUAUGAUGGACAAAAGAAGGAUCAAGCGUCUAGCUGUUGUGUUGGAUAAUUCAGAUUUUGUGGAGGUUUUGCAGAAGGCAAAGUUGAGGUGUCUAAAGACCCUUUUUUGGGGGGAUAUAAAUGAUGAGGAAGGCAAGGAAAGAAGCCAUAUCGGUUGUUUGCAAAUGGAAGGACCGAGAUGUUUGAAGAUGUCGAAGCGGACUUAUAAUCCAGAGGUGGAGAAGAAGCCUUGAUUGGGGUGAUGAGAGUGAGGAUGCAAAUGUUGAUGAUAUAACUCAUGCCACUGAUGCAGAUUGUAUCGAGAAUGAAAAUAAUUGUGCCUGGUGGAAGCUUGAAUCUUCCGAUUCAGAAGCUACUUCAUAACAAUUGUGCUAAAGACAGUUGGUGGUAGUAUGUUUGACAUAUUCUGUGACCAGGUAAAGUUCUCUUACAAUUUCUUGGUAGCAUUUCUGAAAGCUUGAAAUAAUUGUUCCUUGUACCAAACAUAGUUAUAUUCAUAUGGCUUCCAUUUUUUUACUUUAAAUGUUGCUGCUGAGAAUUAAAAAGAUUGUGUUUGGCUUUAUGGUAUCUUACAUAAAAUUUUGUCCAAGAUUUCCAUAAAUAAAUCUUGCAAAAUUUUGAUUAAAAAACUAGGAAAAUAGAAAGCAUAGUCUCUGAUAGGCUAGUGGAAGGCAACCUUUGCAGCUCAGGUUUAUUGGAAUCUUGAAUUAUAUAAUCCAAUCUUUCUCUUGAAUAUUUCCUGCAACAAAAGGCACAGUUGAAGAAGUAAUGGCAGUGGCAGUGGCCAACGUGGUCAUGCUGCAUUUUCAUUUGAUGGACUUCAGCAAAAAAAGGGGUGGCAGGGGGAAAGGAAGAGAUUCACAGGCAUGGUUUCUCUUUUUACUCUGUUUUAUUUUACUAAUGCACAAUGUUAGAGAGUAGAUUAUGUUGCAUGCUGUUGGAUUUGUGUUGCUAGAAUAAUCAUAUCGUGUUAUAGAACAUUUGGGCAGUCACAAGUCACAACUUAGCUUCAGUGAAAUCUCUCACUCUUUUUGGAGAAAAUAUUUUGGCGCUGUAAGCUGUUGAUACUGCUAUGAAUGUGCUUAAUAUUGAAGUAGAGCAGAUAUGUUGACAGAGGUUUUCUGGGGUUUUGGAAGUUGAAGGAUUGGCUAGCUGCAUCUUGUUCUGGAUUCAACCUUCAUGUGCGAAGAUAUACAUGUUCUGAAUACCAUAAAUUCCUAUUGCUUGUAAUUAUUAUUUUGUCUUUAAAGAAAUAUUUGAUAUGUCCUAAGACCAUCUACUAAUUGUAACUUGAUAUUCAAGCUUGAACCUCAAACCUCAUUGUUUUCAACACCAGAG